AACUAGUGUGAAUUGCAUAUUCAGUGAAUCAUCGAGUCUUUGAACGCAACUUGCGCUCAUUGGUAUUCCAAUGAGCACGCCUGUUUCAGUAUCAAAA
This 97-nucleotide ribosomal RNA is filed under the name Mucor racemosus f. racemosus. RNAcentral describes it as "partial 5.8S ribosomal RNA". It matches the Rfam family "5.8S ribosomal RNA", at positions 60 to 154 of the family's 154-position model. From Rfam's summary of the family: 5.8S ribosomal RNA (5.8S rRNA) is a component of the large subunit of the eukaryotic ribosome. The record is from RNAcentral. Lineage: Eukaryota; Fungi; Mucoromycota; Mucoromycetes; Mucorales; Mucoraceae.